AUGGGUGGCAAGGGCGGCGGUGGAGGUGGCGGCAAAGGGGGAGGAGGCGGCGGCGGCAAGGGCGGUGGUGGUGGAGGUGGAGGCGGCGGCGGCAAGGGCGGUGGUGGUGGAGGUGGAGGCGGCAGGAGCGGUGGUGGGGGAGGCGGAGGCGGAUCAAAGGGGUCAGGCGGCAGUGUCGGCGCAGGGAAGUCGUCCGGCACUGGCGGUGGCAGCGGUGGCAUGAUGAAGGCGCCCGGCGGCGACGGCGCCUACAUCUCCCGCCCUGGGUUCGAGUCCAACCCGCAGGGCUACUUCCAGGGCCUCCACGGCGCCGGAGGAAAGUAG
RNAcentral lists this ribosomal RNA (324 nucleotides) under Triticum aestivum (bread wheat). RNAcentral's name for it is "partial small subunit ribosomal RNA". Lineage: Eukaryota; Viridiplantae; Streptophyta; Magnoliopsida; Poales; Poaceae. The record is from RNAcentral.